Long non-coding RNA from Homo sapiens (human), 2458 nucleotides. Ensembl annotates it as coiled-coil domain containing 144B, pseudogene. Its record names the gene CCDC144BP. Lineage: Eukaryota; Metazoa; Chordata; Mammalia; Primates; Hominidae. The record is from Ensembl.
AGUGAUCGCUUGGCUUGGCAUUUCUGGCUUGGCGGUCCUCCUUUCGCAGAUUGGAAACCGCGGGCUAUCCUGCUGGGAGGUUGUGGCCGAGGCAGUAGCUCGCUACUGAUGGCCUCCUGGGGUGGAGAAAAGCGGGGAGGGGCUGAGGGGUCUCCGAAGCUGGCAGUCUACGCCACGAGGAAGACCCGUAGCGUCAGGAGCCAGGAGGACCAGUGGUACUUGGGCUACCCGGGGGACCAGUGGUCUUCGGGCUUCUCCUACAGCUGGUGGAAAAAUAGCGUCGGCAGCGAGAGCAAGCACGGUGAGGGCGCCUUAGACCAGCCCCAGCACGACGUCCGCCUGGAAGAUCUUGGCGAGCUCCACAGAGCUGCCCGGUCGGGCGACGUCCCUGGGGUGGAGCACGUCUUGGCUCCUGGAGACACUGGCGUGGACAAGAGGGAUAGGAAGAAGAGCAUUCAGCAACUAGUUCCUGAAUAUAAGGAAAAACAGACACCUGAAAGUCUUCCUCAAAAUAACAAUCCAGAUUGGCAUCCUACUAAUUUGACCCUUAGUGAUGAGACUUGUCAGAGAUCCAAGAAUCUGAAAGUUGGUGAUAAAAGUCCAUCUGUAUCACCAUCAAUGCCUGAAAAUCAGUCAGCAACCAAAGAACUGGGACAGAUGAACUUAACAGAACGAGAAAAAAUGGACACUGGAGUUGUACUUCUCUCAGGGAAUGAUACUCUCCAUGACCUGUGCCAAUCACAGCUACCAGAAAACAAAGAGAGCAAAGAAGCAGAACAAGACUUGGAGCUGACAUCAGAGGAAGAGCAAGAAAGACUUAAAGGAUGCGAAAAUAAGCAGCCACAGAAAACGUCUCAAGAACCAGAAAUGGCUAAGGAUUGUGAUAGAGAGGAUAUACCUAUAUAUCCAGUACUUCCUCAUGUGCAAAAAUCUGAGGAAAUGUGGAUUGAACAAGGCAAAUUAGAGUGGAAAAACCAAUUAAAACUCGUCAUAAAUGAGUUAAAGCAGAGGUUUGGUGAAAUUUAUGAAAAAUACAAAAUUCCGGCUUGUCCUGAGGAAGAGCCACUACUUGAUAACUCUACAAGAGGAACAGAUGUGAAGGAUAUUCCCUUUAAUUUGACAAAUAACAUACCUGGUUGUGAGGAAGAAGAUGCAUCUGAAAUAUCUGUCUCAGUGGUAUUCGAGACAUUUCCUGAACAAAAAGAACCCAGUCUCAAAAAUAUCAUCCAUCCAUACUAUCAUCCGUACUCUGGGUCCCAGGAACAUGUUUGCCAGUCAUCUUCUAAGCUUCAUUUACAUGAAAAUAAAUUAGACUGCGACAAUGAUAACAAACUAGGCAUUGGACAUAUUUUUAGUACAGAUAACAACUUUCAUAAUGAUGCAAGCACUAAGAAAGCAAGGAACCCAGAAGUGGUUACGGUUGAAAUGAAAGAAGACCAAGAGUUUGAUUUGCAAAUGACAAAAAAUAUGAACCAAAAUAGUGACAGUGGCAGUACAAAUAACUAUAAAAGCCUGAAACCUAAAUUAGAAAAUCUGAGUUCUUUACCACCAGAUUCUGACAGAACAUCAGAAGUAUAUCUACAUGAAGAAUUACAGCAAGACAUGCAAAAGUUUAAGAAUGAGGUCAACACAUUAGAAGAAGAGUUCCUGGCUUUGAAGAAAGAAAAUGUUCAACUUCAUAAAGAGGUUGAAGAAGAAAUGGAGAAGCACAGAAGUAAUAGCACAGAAUUAUCAGGAACCCUAACUGAUGGUACUACUGUUGGCAAUGAUGAUGAUGGACUAAAUCAGCAGAUUCCUAGGAAGGAAAAUGAAGAGCAUGACAGGCCUGCAGAUAAAACAGCUAAUGAAAAGAACAAGGUCAAAAACCAAAUAUAUCCUGAGGCUGACUUUGCUGACUCAAUGGAGCCAUCUGAAAUAGCCUCAGAGGAUUGUGAAUUGUCUCACUCUGUUUAUGAGAAUUUUAUGUUGCUGAUUGAACAACUUAGAAUGGAGUAUAAAGAUUCUGCUAGCCUACCAAGAAUCCAAGACACAUUUUGUUUGUGUGAACACUUACUGAAACUUAAGAAUAAUCACUGUGACCAACUUACAGUAAAACUUAAACAAAUGGAAAAUAUGGUCAGUGUACUACAAAAUGAGCUAUCUGAAACAAAAAAGACAAAAUUACAGUUAGAACUUCAAAAAAUUGAAUGGGAGAAAGAGCUGUACGAUUUGAGGUUGUGCAGGAGAGAAACGAUGCCCAGAAGCAACUUUCUGAAGAACAGGAUGCCAGAAUAUUACAAGAUCAGAUUCUGACAAGUAAACAAAAGGAACUAGAAAUGGCUCAAAAGAAAAUGAAUUCUGAGAUUUCUCAUAGGCAUCAGAAAGAAAAGCAUCUCUUUCAUGAAAAUUGCAUGUUGCAGGAAGAAAUUGCCUUGCUGAGACUGGAAAUAGAUACAAUAAAAAAUCAGAACAAGCAAAA